Molecule: ribosomal RNA, 494 nt
Filed under: uncultured Eubacteriales bacterium
Lineage: Bacteria; Bacillati; Bacillota; Clostridia; Eubacteriales
Description: bacterial SSU rRNA
Rfam family: Bacterial small subunit ribosomal RNA
Source: RNAcentral
GACGAACGCUGGCGGCGCGCCUAACACAUGCAAGUCGAGCGAUGAAAGUUGUUCAGAUCCUUCGGGUGACGAACUUCCGGAUUAGCGGCGAACGGGUGAGUAACGCGUGAGGAACCUGCCUCUCACAACGGGAUAGCCUCGGGAAACCGGGAUUAAUACCGUAUGACACUAUCAGAUGGCAUCAUCAGGUAGUUAAAGUGCUAGCGGUGAGAGAUGGCCUCGCGUCUGAUUAGUUAGUUGGUGGGGUAACGGCCUACCAAGACGACGAUCAGUAACCGGCCUGAGAGGGUGAACGGUCACAUUGGAACUGAGACACGGUCCAAACUCCUACGGGAGGCAGCAGUGGGGAAUCUUGCACAAUGGGGGAAACCCUGAUGCAGCGACGCCGCGUGAGCGAUGAAGGUUUUCGAAUCGUAAAGCUCUGUCCUAUGGGAAGAUAAUGACGGUACCAUAGGAGGAAGCCCCGGCUAACUACGUGCCAGCCGCCGCGGUAA